UGGAUGAUGGAGUGAGGCUACCUAUGCAAGACUUGAAGCGGCUUGAAGUGGAAAACCAUCAGCUUAUUAAGCAGCAAGAUCACAGCAGCAAGCUGUUUAAGCAUCAACGAGAACAGAUUGAGAGACUGACCUCACAACUCAUGUCUACCAGCACAACACUGCAGAAGAAAAGAG
Maylandia zebra (zebra mbuna) is the source of this 174-nucleotide non-coding RNA. Lineage: Eukaryota; Metazoa; Chordata; Actinopteri; Cichliformes; Cichlidae. The record is from RefSeq and is a predicted model, not a curated record.